This is a non-coding RNA of Suricata suricatta (meerkat), 551 nucleotides long. The record is from the annotation of a RefSeq genome assembly. Lineage: Eukaryota; Metazoa; Chordata; Mammalia; Carnivora; Herpestidae.
CCAUCCAGGACCCUACAGGUGGGAGAGGAACGCCAGCCCCGGAGUCCCAGUGUUCCCAUUCUGUGAUAAGGACAGAACACAGACCUCUCACUAUGGAAUUUCUGCUUGGCUGGGUUUUCCUUGUUGCUGUUUUAAAAGGUGUCCAGUGUGAGGUGCAGCUGGUGGAGUCUGGGGGAGGCCUGGCGAAGCCUGGGGGCUCCCUGAGACUCACCUGUGCAGCCUCAGGAUUCAACUUUGGAAGCUACUACAUGCACUGGGUCCGCCAGGCUCCCGAGAAGGGGCUGGAGUGGGUCUCAUAUAUUAGUACUGAUGGAAGUAGCACAGGCUAUGUGGACUCCGUGAAGGGCCGAUUCACCAUCUCCAGAGACAACGCCAAGAACACGCUCUAUCUGCAGAUGAACAACCUGAGAGUCGAGGACACGGCCAUGUAUUUCUGUGCGAGAGACACAGUGAGGGGACUUCAGUGGACUGGAGAGUGGGCUGAUGCCAAUAUUUCCUCCCAACAAUCAGCAGGGAUAGACUGCAGCCAGCAGCACAUCGCCCACCAGUAG